Molecule: ribosomal RNA, 380 nt
Filed under: uncultured eukaryote
Lineage: Eukaryota
Description: partial 18S ribosomal RNA
Rfam family: Eukaryotic small subunit ribosomal RNA
Source: RNAcentral
CAAUAGCGUAUAUUAAAGUUGUUGCAGUUAAAAAGCUCGUAGUUGGAUUUGUGGCGUACGGUGUGUUCCGGGCACUUGUUGUCUGAGUAACCUGCUGUUGCCAUCCUUGGGUGGAACCUGUGUGGCAUUAGGUUGUCGUGCAGGGGAUGCCCAUCAUUUACUGUGAAAAAAUUAGAGUGUUCAAAGCAGGCUUAUGCCGUUGAAUAUAUUAGCAUGGAAUAAUGAGGUAGGACUUUUUUGCUAUUUUGUUGGUUUGCGCAAAGAGGUAAUGAUUAAUAGGGACAGUUGGGGGUAUUCGUAUUCCAUUGUUAGAGGUGAAAUUCUUGGAUUUUUGGAAGACGAACUACUGCGAAAGCAUUUACCAAGGAUGUUUUCAUUAA